GGGUGACCCCCUUGGGCAGGUGGAAGACCGAUGCAAAGUAACCAUUUAGGAGAUUGGCAUUUUCCUGAGCGUCAGACAUCAGCUGCCCCAUUUGAUUUAGCAGGGUGGUGGUGGGUGGGUCAG
Long non-coding RNA from Gavialis gangeticus (Gharial), 123 nucleotides. RefSeq lists it as uncharacterized. NCBI's taxonomy places the organism in Eukaryota, Metazoa, Chordata, Crocodylia, Gavialidae. The transcript is spliced from 3 exons. The record is from RefSeq and is a predicted model, not a curated record.